UUGGCGGACGGGUGAGUAACGCGUGGAUAACCUGCCGUAUACCGGGGGAUAACACUUAGAAAUAGGUGCUAAUACCGCAUAAGCGCACGGCUCCGCAUGGGGCAGUGUGAAAAACUCCGGUGGUAUACGAUGGAUCCGCGUCUGAUUAGCUAGUUGGCGGGGUAACGGCCCACCAAGGCAGCGAUCAGUAGCCGGCCUGAGAGGGUGGACGGCCACAUUGGGACUGAGACACGGCCCAAACUCCUACGGAAGGCAGCAG
This 259-nucleotide ribosomal RNA is filed under the name uncultured bacterium. RNAcentral's name for it is "partial 16S ribosomal RNA". It matches the Rfam family "Bacterial small subunit ribosomal RNA", at positions 95 to 354 of the family's 1533-position model. The record is from RNAcentral.